RNAcentral lists this ribosomal RNA (497 nucleotides) under uncultured bacterium. Its description in RNAcentral is "partial 16S ribosomal RNA". It matches the Rfam family "Bacterial small subunit ribosomal RNA", at positions 28 to 507 of the family's 1533-position model. The record is from RNAcentral.
GAUGAACGCUGGCGGCGUGCCUAAUACAUGCAAGUCGAGCGAACGGACGAGAAGCUUGCUUUUCUGAUGUUAGCGGCGGACGGGUGAGUAACACGUGGAUAACCUACCUAUAAGACUGGGAUAACUUCGGGAAACCGGAGCUAAUACCGGAUAAUAUUUUGAACCGCAUGGUUCAAAAGUGAAAGACGGUCUUGCUGUCACUUAUAGAUGGAUCCGCGCUGCAUUGGCUAGUUGGUAAGGUAACGGCUUACCAAGGCAACGAUGCAUAGCCGACCUGAGAGGGUGAUCGGCCACACUGGAACUGAGACACGGUCCAGACUCCUACGGGAGGCAGCAGUAGGGAAUCUUCCGCAAUGGGCGAAAGCCUGACGGAGCAACGCCGCGUGAGUGAUGAAGGUCUUCGGAUCGUAAAACUCUGUUAUUAGGGAAGAACAUAUGUGUAAGUAACUGUGCACAUCUUGACGGUACCUAAUCAGAAAGCCACGGCUAACUACGUG